RNAcentral lists this transfer RNA (73 nucleotides) under Camelus bactrianus (Bactrian camel). It matches the Rfam family "tRNA". Rfam says of the family: Transfer RNA (tRNA) molecules are approximately 80 nucleotides in length. Their secondary structure includes four short double-helical elements and three loops (D, anti-codon, and T loops). RNAcentral also lists the same sequence under 3 other names. Lineage: Eukaryota; Metazoa; Chordata; Mammalia; Artiodactyla; Camelidae. The record is from Rfam by way of RNAcentral.
GAGGGUAUAGCUCUAGUGGUAGAGCUCAUGCUUAGCAUGUGUGAGGUCCUGGGUUCAAUUCCCAGUUCUUCCU